CCUACGGGGGGCAGCAGUGGGGAAUAUUGGACAAUGGGCGAAAGCCUGAUCCAGCCAUGCCGCGUGUGUGAAGAAGGCCUUCGGGUUGUAAAGCACUUUCAGUGGGGAAGAAAGCCUUGGGGCUAAUACCCUCGAGGAAGGACAUCACCCACAGAAGAAGCACCGGCUAACUCCGUGCCAGCAGCCGCGGUGAUACGGAGGGUGCGAGCGUUAAUCGGAAUUACUGGGCGUAAAGCGCGCGUAGGCGGUCUGAUAAGCCGGUUGUGAAAGCCCCGGGCUCAACCUGGGAACGGCAUCCGGAACUGUCAGGCUAGAGUGCAGGAGAGGAAGGUAGAAUUCCCGGUGUAGCGGUGAAAUGCGUAGAGAUCGGGAGGAAUACCAGUGGCGAAGGCGGCCUUCUGGACUGACACUGACGCUGAGGUGCGAAAGCGUGGGUAGCAAACAGGAUUAGAUACCCUUGUAGUC
Molecule: ribosomal RNA, 465 nt
Filed under: Vreelandella stevensii
Lineage: Bacteria; Pseudomonadati; Pseudomonadota; Gammaproteobacteria; Oceanospirillales; Halomonadaceae
Description: partial 16S ribosomal RNA
Rfam family: Bacterial small subunit ribosomal RNA
Source: RNAcentral